This 327-nucleotide ribosomal RNA is filed under the name uncultured bacterium. Its description in RNAcentral is "bacterial SSU rRNA". It matches the Rfam family "Bacterial small subunit ribosomal RNA", at positions 28 to 334 of the family's 1533-position model. The record is from RNAcentral.
GACGAACGCUGGCGGCGUGCCUAACACAUGCAAGUCGAACGAAGAUUAUAUGGAAUGCGGCUUCGGCCAAAUGAAGUAUAAUCUUAGUGGCGGACGGGUGAGUAACGCGUGAGUAACCUGCCCUUCAGAGGGGGACAACAGUUGGAAACGACUGCUAAUACCGCAUAACGUAUUUUGAAGGCAUCUUCGAAAUACCAAAGGAGCAAUCCGCUGAAGGAUGGACUCGCGUCCGAUUAGAUAGUUGGUGGGGUAACGGCCUACCAAGUCGACGAUCGGUAGCCGGACUGAGAGGUUGAUCGGCCACAUUGGGACUGAGACACGGCCCAG